GAUGAACGCUGGCGGCGUGCCUAAUACAUGCCAGUCGAGCGAACAGACGAGGAGCUUGCUCCUCUGACGUUAGCGGCGGACGGGUGAGUAACACGUGGAUAACCUACCUAUAAGACUGGGAUAACUUCGGGAAACCGGAGCUAAUACCGGAUAAUAUAUUGAACCGCAUGGUUCAAUAGUGAAAGACGGUUUUGCUGUCACUUAUAGAUGGAUCCGCGCCGCAUUAGCUAGUUGGUAAGGUAACGGCUUACCAAGGCAACGAUGCGUAGCCGACCUGAGAGGGUGAUCGGCCACACUGGAACUGAGACACGGUCCAGACUCCUACGGGAGGAAGCAGAAGGGAAUCUUCCGCAAUGGGCGAAAGCCUGACGGAGCAACGCCGCGUGAGUGAUGAAGGUCUUCGGAUCGUAAAACUCUGUUAUUAGGGAAGAACAAAUGUGUAAGUAACUAUGCACGUCUUGACGGUACCUAAUCAGAAAGCCACGGCUAACUACGUG
This 497-nucleotide ribosomal RNA is filed under the name uncultured bacterium. Its description in RNAcentral is "partial 16S ribosomal RNA". It matches the Rfam family "Bacterial small subunit ribosomal RNA", at positions 28 to 507 of the family's 1533-position model. The record is from RNAcentral.